This 65-nucleotide transfer RNA is filed under the name Dipodomys ordii (Ord's kangaroo rat). It matches the Rfam family "tRNA". Rfam says of the family: Transfer RNA (tRNA) molecules are approximately 80 nucleotides in length. Their secondary structure includes four short double-helical elements and three loops (D, anti-codon, and T loops). Further hydrogen bonds mediate the characteristic L-shaped molecular structure. tRNAs have two regions of fundamental functional importance: the anti-codon, which is responsible for specific mRNA codon recognition, and the 3' end, to which the tRNAs corresponding amino acid is attached (by aminoacyl-tRNA synthetases). tRNAs cope with the degeneracy of the genetic code in two manners: having more than one tRNA (with a specific anti-codon) for a particular amino acid; and 'wobble' base-pairing, i.e. permitting non-standard base-pairing at the 3rd anti-codon position. Lineage: Eukaryota; Metazoa; Chordata; Mammalia; Rodentia; Heteromyidae. The record is from Rfam by way of RNAcentral.
GGUGGCUCAAAGGUAGAGCGCUUGCUUUGCAUGCCUGAAGCCCUGGGUUCGAUUCCCCAGCACCA